GAUGAACGCUGGCGGCGUGCUUAACACAUGCAAGUCGAACGAAGCACUUUAUUUGAUUUCCUUCGGGACUGAUUAUUUUGUGACUGAGUGCCGGACGGGUGAGUAACGCGUGGGUAACCUGCCUUGUACAGGGGGAUAACAGUUGGAAACGGCUGCUAAUACCGCAUAAGCGCACGGCAUCGCAUGAUGCAGUGUGAAAAACUCCGGUGGUAUAAGAUGGACCCGCGUUGGAUUAGCUAGUUGGUGAGGUAACGGCCUACCAAGGCGACGAUCCAUAGCCGACCUGAGAGGGUGACCGGCCACAUUGGGACUGAGACACGGCCCAAACUCCUACGGGAGGCAGCAGUGGGGAAUAUUGCACAAUGGGCGAAAGCCUGAUGCAGCGACGCCGCGUGAGCGAAGAAGUACUUCGGUAUGUAAAGCUCUAUCAGCAGGGAAGAUAAUGACGGUACCUGACGAAGAAGCACCGGCUAAAUACGUG
Molecule: ribosomal RNA, 481 nt
Filed under: uncultured bacterium
Lineage: Bacteria
Description: partial 16S ribosomal RNA
Rfam family: Bacterial small subunit ribosomal RNA
Source: RNAcentral